RNAcentral lists this ribosomal RNA (159 nucleotides) under Dendrolirium ferrugineum. RNAcentral's name for it is "Trichotosia ferruginea 5.8S ribosomal RNA". The record is from RNAcentral. Lineage: Eukaryota; Viridiplantae; Streptophyta; Magnoliopsida; Asparagales; Orchidaceae.
UCGAGUCUUUGAACGCAAGUUGCGCCCGAGGCCAACCGGUUGAGGGCACGUCUGCCUGGGCGUCAAGCGUUACGUCGCUCCGUGCCAACUCCAUAUCGCCGAAGGGCGUGUCGGAUGAUGCUCGGAUGUAGAGAGUGGCUCAUCGUGCCCAUCGGCGCG